This is a transfer RNA of Operophtera brumata (winter moth), 73 nucleotides long. It matches the Rfam family "tRNA". From Rfam's summary of the family: Transfer RNA (tRNA) molecules are approximately 80 nucleotides in length. The record is from Rfam. Lineage: Eukaryota; Metazoa; Arthropoda; Insecta; Lepidoptera; Geometridae.
CAUUCCAUGGCCAAACUGGUCAAGGCAUCGCCGAUUAAAGGUGAAGAUACGGGUUCGAGUCCCGCUGGAAUGG